CUACGGGAUGCAGCAGUGGGGAAUAUUGGACAAUGGGGGAAACCCUGAUCCAGCAAUGCCGCGUGUGUGAAGAAGGCCUGCGGGUUGUAAAGCACUUUCGGUUGGGAGGACUGCUUCUAGCACUAAUAUUGUUGGAAGUUGACGUUACCUUCAGAAGAAGCACCGGCUAACUCCGUGCCAGCAGCCGCGGUGAAUACGGAGGGUGCAAGCGUUAAUCGGAAUUACUGGGCGUAAAGCGCGCGUAGGCGGCUAGAUCAGUCGGGUGUGAAAGCCCCGGGCUUAACCUGGGAACUGCAUCCGAUACUGUCUAGCUUGAGUACAGGAGAGGAGAGUGGAAUUCCACAUGUAGCGGUGAAAUGCGUAGAUAUGUGGAGGAACACCAAUGGCGAAGGCAGCUCUCUGGCCUGAUACUGACGCUGAGGUGCGAAAGCGUGGGGAGCAAACAGGAUUAGAUACCCUUGUAGUC
RNAcentral lists this ribosomal RNA (466 nucleotides) under uncultured bacterium. Its description in RNAcentral is "partial 16S ribosomal RNA". It matches the Rfam family "Bacterial small subunit ribosomal RNA", at positions 339 to 795 of the family's 1533-position model. The record is from RNAcentral.